AAGAAGCAAGACCGUGAGGUGGAGCAAAACUCAAAAACUUAGUCUCAGUUCGGAUUGUAGGCUGAAACUCGCCUACAUGAAGCUGGAGUUGCUAGUAAUCGCGAAUCAGCAUGUCGCGGUGAAUACGUUCCCGGGCCUUGUACACACCGCCCGUCACACCAUGAGAGUUGGCAAUACCCAACGUACGUGAUCUAACCCGCAAGGGAGGAAGCGUCCUAAGGUAGGGUCAGCGAUUGGGGUGAAGUCGUAACAAGGUAUC
RNAcentral lists this ribosomal RNA (259 nucleotides) under uncultured bacterium. RNAcentral's name for it is "partial 16S ribosomal RNA". It matches the Rfam family "Bacterial small subunit ribosomal RNA", at positions 1244 to 1500 of the family's 1533-position model. The record is from RNAcentral.